This 828-nucleotide ribosomal RNA is filed under the name uncultured bacterium. RNAcentral's name for it is "bacterial SSU rRNA". It matches the Rfam family "Bacterial small subunit ribosomal RNA", at positions 87 to 894 of the family's 1533-position model. The record is from RNAcentral.
UCAAGUUAGUGGCGCACGGGUGAGUAACGCGUAGAUAAUCUGCCUGAUGAUCUGGGAUAACACUUCGAAAGGGGUGCUAAUACCGGAUAAGCCCACGUGGUCUUUGGAUCGUGCGGGAAAAGGGGGGGACCUUCGGGCCUUCUGUCAUCAGAUGAGUCUGCGUACCAUUAGCUAGUUGGUAGGGUAAAGGCCUACCAAGGCUACGAUGGUUAGCUGGUCAGAGGAUGAUCAGCCACACUGGAACUGAGACACGGUCCAGACUCCUACGGGAGGCAGCAGUGGGGAAUUUUGCGCAAUGGGCGAAAUCCUGACGCAGCAACGCCGCGUGAGUGAUGAAGGCUUUCGGGUCGUAAAGCUCUGUCGAGGGGAAAGAAGUGUAUUGUGGCUAAUAUCCACGAUACUUGACGGUACCCCUAAAGGAAGCACCGGCUAACUCCGUGCCAGCAGCCGCGGUAAUACGGGGGGUGCAAGCGUUGUUCGGAAUUAUUGGGCGUAAAGAGCGUGUAGGCGGUUUGUUUAGUCUGAUGUGAAAGCCCUGGGCUCAACCCAGGAAGUGCAUUGGAUACUGGCAGACUUGAAUACGGGAGAGGGUAGUGGAAUUCCUAGUGUAGGAGUGAAAUCCGUAGAUAUUAGGAGGAACACCGGUGGCGAAGGCGGCUGCCUGGACCGAUAUUGACGCUGAGACGCGAAAGCGUGGGUAGCAAACAGGAUUAGAUACCCUGGUAGUCCACGCCGUAAACGAUGAGAACUAGGUGUUGCGGGUAUUGACCCCUGCAGUGCCGCAGCUAACGCAUUAAGUUCUCCGCCUGGGAAGUACGGUCGCAAGAC